CCUACGGGAGGCAGCAGUAGGGGAUAUUGCUCAAUGGGGGAAACCCUGAACCAGCAACGCCGCGUGGGGGAUGACGGUUUUCGGAUUGUAAACUCCUUUUCUCAGUGAAGAUAAUGACGGUAUCUGACGAAUAAGCACCGGCUAACUCCGUGCCAGCAGCCGCGGUAAUACGUAGGGUGCAAGCGUUGCUCGGAUUCACUGGGAGUAAAGAGUGCGUAGGCGGGAUAGCAAGUCAGAUGUGAAAUCCAAUGGCUUAACCAUAGAACUGCUUUUGAAACUGUUAUUCUAGAGUAAGGGAGAGGUAGGCGGAAUUCUUGGUGUAGGGGUAAAAUGCGUAGAGAUCAAGAGGAAUACUCAUGGCGAAGGCGACCUGCUAG
Molecule: ribosomal RNA, 377 nt
Filed under: uncultured bacterium
Lineage: Bacteria
Description: partial 16S ribosomal RNA
Rfam family: Bacterial small subunit ribosomal RNA
Source: RNAcentral